This 231-nucleotide unclassified non-coding RNA is filed under the name fungal sp. Its description in RNAcentral is "partial internal transcribed spacer region". The stretch from base 1 to 47 matches the Rfam family "Eukaryotic small subunit ribosomal RNA", at positions 1785 to 1831 of the family's 1831-position model. Lineage: Eukaryota; Fungi. The record is from RNAcentral.
AAAGUCUUAAUAAGGUUUCCGUAGGUGAACCUGCGGAAGGAUCAUUCGCAACAUGUGUUUUUUUUUAUAAUUUAUAAAAGAAAAGUGAAUCCUUCGCCACCCAUGUGCAAUGUUGCAAUGUAUGAGAAUAUCAUCAACUCUUUGCUUUGAACCAGUUCGUCUGAAAUAAACAUAUUCUUUGACUAACUUUAUUCAAAAAUACAACUUUCAACAACGGAUCUCUUGGCUCUC